GAUGAAGAACGUAGCGAAAUGCGAUACUUGGUGUGAAUUGCAGAAUCCCGUGAACCAUCGAGUCUUUGAACGCAAGUUGCGCCCGAAGCCAUUAGGCCGAGGGCACGCCUGCCUGGGCGUCACACGUCGUUGCCCCCCCAUCUACUCCUUCGGGAUUGCGGGGGGCGGAUGAUGGCCUCCCGUGCGCCUCGUCGCGCGGUUGGCAUAAAUGCCAAGUCCUCGGCGACGCACGCCACGACAAUCGGUGGUUGCGAAACCUCGGUUGCCCGUCGUGUGCGGUCGUCGCGCAUCGAGGGCUCGAAAAAAUUGCCGGGCUCCGGCUCGGCUUUCAACGUGACCCCAGGUCAGGCGGGGUUACCCGCUGAAUUUAAGCAUAUCAAUAAGCGGAGGA
Molecule: unclassified non-coding RNA, 391 nt
Filed under: soil metagenome
Description: partial contains 5.8S ribosomal RNA, internal transcribed spacer 2, and large subunit ribosomal RNA
Rfam family: 5.8S ribosomal RNA (bases 1-122)
Source: RNAcentral